Molecule: non-coding RNA, 149 nt
Filed under: human gut metagenome
Also listed under: 1 other name
Source: RNAcentral
GGGAGGAAGUGGUGUAGCAAAGCCGAUGAGCCUACGAACAGAAACCGGAUAUGAGGCUAAAUGGCGGGUGAGGUUGCUAUACAAACCGAAGCCCUAAGGGUAAAUGUAAAGCCAAGAUAGUAAAUCCGGAGGUUGUGCGGCGAAAGAAC